UACGUAGGAGGCAAGCGUUGUCCGGAAUUACUGGGUGUAAAGCGCGUGUAGGCGGCAGGCCAAGUCUGUGGUGAAAUCGCUCGGCUCAACUGGGCGGGGUCCAUGGAAACUGGUCAGCUGGAGGACGGUAGAGGUGAGUGGAAUUCCCGGUGUAGUGGUGAAAUGCGUAGAGAUCGGGAGGAACACCCGUGGCGAAGGCAAUUCACUGGCGCAAAUCUGACACUGAAACACGAAAGCGUGGGUAGCGAAUGGG
This 253-nucleotide ribosomal RNA is filed under the name uncultured bacterium. Its description in RNAcentral is "partial 16S ribosomal RNA". It matches the Rfam family "Bacterial small subunit ribosomal RNA", at positions 524 to 776 of the family's 1533-position model. The record is from RNAcentral.